This 460-nucleotide ribosomal RNA is filed under the name uncultured bacterium. RNAcentral describes it as "partial 16S ribosomal RNA". It matches the Rfam family "Bacterial small subunit ribosomal RNA", at positions 338 to 795 of the family's 1533-position model. The record is from RNAcentral.
CCUACGGGUGGCUGCAGUGGGGAAUAUUGGGCAAUGGGCGCAAGCCUGACCCAGCAACGCCGCGUGAAGGAUGACUGCCCUACGGGUUGUAAACUUCUUUUAUAAAGGAAUAAAGUGAGGCACGUGUGCCUUUUUGUAUGUACUUUAUGAAUAAGGAUCGGCUAACUCCGUGCCAGCAGCCGCGGUAAUACGGAGGAUCCGAGCGUUAUCCGGAUUUAUUGGGUUUAAAGGGAGCGUAGAUGGGUUGUUAAGUCAGUUGGGAAAGUGUGCGGCUCAACCGUGAAAUUGCAAUUGAUACUGGCAGCCUUGAGUACAGUUGAGGUAGGCGGAAUUCGUGGUGUAGCGGUGAAAUGCUUAGAUAUCACGAAGAACUCCGAUUGCGAAGGCAGCCUACUAAACUGCCACUGACAUUGAUGCUCGAAAGUGUGGGUAUCAAACAGGAUUAGAUACCCUUGUAGUC